UUGACCUCGAAUCAGGUAGGAAUACCCGCUGAACUUAAGCAUAUCAAUAAGCGGAGGAAAAGAAACCAACCGGGAUUACCUCAGUAACGGCGAGUGAAGCGGUAACAGCUCAAAUUUGAAAUCUGGCUCUUCCGGAGUCCGAGUUGUAAUUUGUAGAAGAUGCUUUGGGUUGUGGGUUCGGCCUAAGUUCCUUGGAACAGGACGUCAUAGAGGGUGAGAAUCCCGUAUGUGGCCGAGGCCCGCGCCUAUGUAAAGCUCUUUCAACGAGUCGAGUUGUUUGGGAAUGCAGCUCAAAAUGGGUGGUAAAUUUCAUCUAAAGCUAAAUAUGGGCCAGAGACCGAUAGCGCACAAGUAGAGUGAUCGAAAGAUGAAAAGCACUUUGGAAAGAGAGUUAAACAGUACGUGAAAUUGUUGAAAGGGAAGCGCUUGCAACCAGACUUGGGCGCUGCCGAUCACCUUGAGUUUUCUCGAGUGCACUCGACAGCGCACAGGCCAGCAUCGGUUCGGGUGGCUGGAUAAAGGCCGUAGGAAUGUGGCUCUCUUCGGGGAGUGUUAUAGCCUACGGUGCCAUGCAGCCCAGCCGGACCGAGGACCGCGCCUUCGGGCUAGGAUGCUGGCGUAAUGGUUGUAAGCGACCCGUCUUGAAACACGGACCAAGGAGUCUAACAUCUAUGCGAGUGUUUGGGUGGUAAACCCAUACGCGGAAUGAAAGUGAACGUAGGUGAGAACCCCUUUGGGGCGCAUCAUCGACCGAUCCUGAUGUCUUCGGAUGGAUUUGAGUAAGAGCAUAGCUGUUGGGA
Molecule: ribosomal RNA, 800 nt
Filed under: Erysiphe quercicola
Lineage: Eukaryota; Fungi; Ascomycota; Leotiomycetes; Helotiales; Erysiphaceae
Description: eukaryotic LSU rRNA
Rfam family: Eukaryotic large subunit ribosomal RNA
Source: RNAcentral